AGAUCAAUAUGUCGGUCGUGCUUAGGUACGUACUGGUAUCAUUGGUUUCUACUUUCUGACGAACCAUGGUGUCAUUAAUUUGGUGUUAUGGGGAGUUAGGACUGUUACUUUGAAAAAAUUAGAGUGUAUAAAGCAGGCUUUAGCUUGAAUACAUUAGCAUGGAAUAAUGAAAUAGGACUUUCGAACCUAUUUUGUUGGUUUCUAGGAUCAACGUA
This 215-nucleotide ribosomal RNA is filed under the name Campeiostachys nutans. RNAcentral describes it as "Elymus nutans partial small subunit ribosomal RNA". The stretch from base 46 to 215 matches the Rfam family "Eukaryotic small subunit ribosomal RNA", at positions 693 to 864 of the family's 1831-position model. Lineage: Eukaryota; Viridiplantae; Streptophyta; Magnoliopsida; Poales; Poaceae. The record is from RNAcentral.